UACGUAGGGUGCAAGCGUUGUCCGGAAUUAUUGGGCGUAAAGAGCUCGUAGGCGGUCUGUUGCGUCGGCUGUGAAAACCCGGGGCUCAACCCCGGGCCUGCAGCCGAGACGGGCAGACUAGAGUUCGGCAGGGGAGACUGGAAUUCCUGGUGUAGCGGUGGAAUGCGCAGAUAUCAGGAGGAACACCGAUGGCGAAGGCAGGUCUCUGGGCCAUUACUGACACUGAGAAGCGAAAGCAUGGGGAGCGAACAGG
Molecule: ribosomal RNA, 253 nt
Filed under: uncultured bacterium
Lineage: Bacteria
Description: partial 16S ribosomal RNA
Rfam family: Bacterial small subunit ribosomal RNA
Source: RNAcentral